UUCUAGCCCUGAUCGAACGGUAUGUUUGAGCUUUUUUUGUUUAUUCUGCGGCGGCUUUGCCGCCGCAGAAUAAACAAAAAAGCGAGUAGUGAGAGCAGGAAAUAGC
RNAcentral lists this unclassified non-coding RNA (106 nucleotides) under Chryseobacterium taeanense. RNAcentral's name for it is "Flavo-1 RNA". The record is from RNAcentral. Lineage: Bacteria; Pseudomonadati; Bacteroidota; Flavobacteriia; Flavobacteriales; Weeksellaceae.